AAAGGGAUUAGUUAAUUUAUAAUUUGAGUUUGUCAAAUUCAAGUUGCCUUGUAAGGCAUUCCUUUA
RNAcentral lists this transfer RNA (66 nucleotides) under Sinanodonta woodiana. RNAcentral's name for it is "tRNA-Asp". Lineage: Eukaryota; Metazoa; Mollusca; Bivalvia; Unionida; Unionidae. The record is from RNAcentral.